UACACUCCUGCGGGAGGCAGCAGUGGGGAAUUUUGGACAAUGGGCGAAAGCCUGAUCCAGCAAUGCCGCGUGCAGGAUGAAGGCCUUCGGGUUGUAAACUGCUUUUGUACGGAACGAAAAAGCUCCUUCUAAUACAGGGGGCCCAUGACGGUACCGUAAGAAUAAGCACCGGCUAACUACGUGCCAGCAGCCGCGGUAAUACGUAGGGUGCGAGCGUUAAUCGGAAUUACUGGGCGUAAAGCGUGCGCAGGCGGUUAUGUAAGACAGAUGUGAAAUCCCCGGGCUCAACCUGGGAACUGCAUUUGUGACUGCAUGGCUAGAGUACGGUAGAGGGGGAUGGAAUUCCGCGUGUAGCAGUGAAAUGCGUAGAUAUGCGGAGGAACACCGAUGGCGAAGGCAAUCCCCUGGACCUGUACUGACGCUCAUGCACGAAAGCGUGGGGAGCAAACAGGAUUAGAAACCCCGGUAGUCCCAUGAU
RNAcentral lists this ribosomal RNA (478 nucleotides) under uncultured organism. RNAcentral's name for it is "partial 16S ribosomal RNA". It matches the Rfam family "Bacterial small subunit ribosomal RNA", at positions 332 to 801 of the family's 1533-position model. The record is from RNAcentral.